Molecule: ribosomal RNA, 1492 nt
Filed under: uncultured Pedobacter sp.
Lineage: Bacteria; Pseudomonadati; Bacteroidota; Sphingobacteriia; Sphingobacteriales; Sphingobacteriaceae
Description: bacterial SSU rRNA
Rfam family: Bacterial small subunit ribosomal RNA
Source: RNAcentral
AGCUGCUCAGGAUGAACGCUAGGCGGCAGGCCUAAUAACAUGCACAGUCGAACGAUAGAUAGUCAGCUUGCUGACUUGCAAAAGUGGCGCACGGGUGCGUAACGCGUAUGCAACCUACCUUAAUCAGCGGGAUAGCCCGAAGAAAUACGGAUUAACACCGCAUAAGCUCACAGCACAGCAUUGUGUAAUGAUCAAAUAUAGGAUUAAGAUGGGCAUGCGUGACAUUAGUUAGUUGGCGGGGUAACGGCCCACCAAGACCACGAUGUCUAGGGGAUCUGAGAGGAUGACCCCCCACACUGGUACUGAGACACGGACCAGACUCCUACGGGAGGCAGCAGUAAGGAAUAUUGGUCAAUGGAGGCAACUCUGAACCAGCCAUGCCGCGUGCAGGAAGACAGCCCUCUGGGUCGUAAACUGCUUUUAUUCGGAAUAAACCUCAUUACGUGUAUUGAGCUGAAUGUACCGAAGGAAUAAGGAUCGGCUAACUCCGUGCCAGCAGCCGCGGUAAUACGGAGGAUCCAAGCGUUAUCCGGAUUUAUUGGGUUUAAAGGGUGCGUAGGCGGCUUCAUAAGUCAGGGGUGAAAGACGGUAGCUCAACUAUCGCAGUGCCCUUGAUACAUCCGAAGCUUGAAUGGACUAGAGGUAGGCGGAAUGUGACAAGUAGCGGUGAAAUGCAUAGAUAUGUCACAGAACACCGAUUGCGAAGGCAGCUUACUAUGGUAGUAUUGACGCUGAGGCACGAAAGCGUGCGGAUCAAACAGGAUUAGAUACCCUGGUAGUCCACGCCCUAAUGCUGCAAUACUCGCUGUUAGCGAUACACAGUUAGUAACUAAGCGAAAGCGUUACGUAUACCACCUGCCAGAGUACGGUCGCAAGAUUGAGUCUCAAAGGAAUUGACGGUGCUCGCACAAGCGGAGGAGCAUGUGGUUUAAUUCGAUGAACUCUAGAGGAACCUUACCCGGGCUUGAAAGUUAGUGAAUCAUUAAGAGAUAGAUGAGUGAGCAAUCACACGCCACUAGGUGCGUGCAUCGGCCUGUCGUGUGGCAUCUGCCGUGAGGUGCUUGGGUUAAGUACCGCAACGAGCGUCAAGUUUAGUAUGCCAGCACGUUAAGGUGGGGACUCUACUAACAGACUGCCUGUGCAAACAGAGAGACUAGAGGCUACGACGUCAAGUCAUCAUGGCCCUUACGACCGGGGCUACACACGUGCUACAAUGGAUGGUACAGGAUCCAGCAAGCUGGUAACAGCAAGCAAAUCUCCCUGAGCCAUUCACAGUUCGGAUAGACAUCUGCAACUCGACCUCAUGAAGUUGGAUUCGCUAGUAAUCGUAUAUCAGCAAUGAUACGGUGAAUACGGUGGCCUUGUACACACCGCCCGUCAAGCCAUGGAAGUUGGGGGUACCUAAAGUAUGUAACCGCAAGGAGCGUCCUAGGGUAUAUUGCGAUAACUGGGGCUAAGUCGUAACAAGGUAGCCCGGAAGGUGCGGCUGGAU